Molecule: long non-coding RNA, 314 nt
Organism: Vidua chalybeata
Lineage: Eukaryota; Metazoa; Chordata; Aves; Passeriformes; Viduidae
Exons: 3
Source: RefSeq, a predicted model, not a curated record
AGAUGGAUCGUGCAGGACACAAAAUACAAAUAAAGGGAAAAAGGUUCCCUCCACGGACUUUUGCUCACAGCUGGAGCACGAGGCAGGUGUAGGGCUCACCUGUGGAUGAAAUCCCAGAGGAAAGAGCAGCUGCUCUCAGGAAUUACGGCGCUCGGCGAAAAGCAGGGACCCUCCGGAGCUGCUGCUGGCGCAGCCUGGCAUCCCAAAAUAUUCCUGCCAUCUUCAGGGGGAUUUAGCCAUCCAUCUGCUGCUUGUGCCUGCCCUGGAGCGCUCCAGCAGGGCCGUGGGUGCCCGACGGGCGCAGCUCUCGGGAA